RNAcentral lists this ribosomal RNA (253 nucleotides) under uncultured bacterium. RNAcentral's name for it is "partial 16S ribosomal RNA". It matches the Rfam family "Bacterial small subunit ribosomal RNA", at positions 524 to 776 of the family's 1533-position model. The record is from RNAcentral.
UACGUAGGGUGCGAGCGUUGUCCGGAAUUAUUGGGCGUAAAGAGCUCGUAGGCGGUCUGUUGCGUCCGCUGUGAAAACUCGGGGCUUAACCCCGAGCCUGCAGUGGAUACGGGCAGACUAGAGGUAGGUAGGGGAGAAUGGAAUUCCCGGUGUAGCGGUGAAAUGCGCAGAUAUCGGGAGGAACACCGGUGGCGAAGGCGGUUCUCUGGGUCUUACCUGACGCUGAGGAGCGAAAGCGUGGGGAGCGAACAGG